Molecule: microRNA precursor, 64 nt
Organism: Ictalurus punctatus (channel catfish)
Lineage: Eukaryota; Metazoa; Chordata; Actinopteri; Siluriformes; Ictaluridae
Gene: ipu-mir-7b
Product: ipu-mir-7b
Source: Ensembl
UGGAAGACUUGUGAUUUUGUUGUUGUUAGUUAGAUGAAGUGACAACAAAUCACGGUCUGCCCUA